UACGAGGGGGGCAAGCGUUUGUUCGGAAUUAUUGGGCGUAAAGGGUGCGUAGGCGGUUUGGUAAGUCUUAUGUGAAAUCUACAGGCUCAACUUGUAGUCUGCAUGAGAAACUGCCGGGCUUGAGUAUGGGAGAGGUGAGUGGAAUUCCUGGUGUAGCGGUGAAAAUGCGCAGAUAUCAGGAAGAACACCCGUGGCUAAGGCGGCUCUCUAGUACGGUACUGACGCUGAGACGCGAAAAGCGUGGGGAGCGAACAGG
Molecule: ribosomal RNA, 256 nt
Filed under: uncultured bacterium
Lineage: Bacteria
Description: partial 16S ribosomal RNA
Rfam family: Bacterial small subunit ribosomal RNA
Source: RNAcentral